Molecule: non-coding RNA, 23 nt
Filed under: Xenopus tropicalis (tropical clawed frog)
Lineage: Eukaryota; Metazoa; Chordata; Amphibia; Anura; Pipidae
Also listed under: 1 other name
Source: RNAcentral
AUAGCUCAGUCGGUAGAGCAUCA